RNAcentral lists this ribosomal RNA (253 nucleotides) under uncultured bacterium. Its description in RNAcentral is "partial 16S ribosomal RNA". It matches the Rfam family "Bacterial small subunit ribosomal RNA", at positions 524 to 776 of the family's 1533-position model. The record is from RNAcentral.
UACGUAGGGGGCUAGCGUGGUCCGGAAUCAUUGGGCGUAAAGAGCGUGUAGGCGGUCCGGUAAGUCCGCUGUGAAAGUCGGGGGCUCAACCCUCGAAUGCCGGUGGAUACUGUCGGGCUAGAGUGCGGAAGAGGCGAGUGGAAUUCCUGGUGUAGCGGUGAAAUGCGCAGAUAUCAGGAGGAACACCUAUUGCGAAGGCAGCUCGCUGGGACGUAACUGACGCUGAGACGCGAAAGCGUGGGGAGCAAACAGG